RNAcentral lists this unclassified non-coding RNA (380 nucleotides) under soil metagenome. RNAcentral describes it as "partial contains 5.8S ribosomal RNA, internal transcribed spacer 2, and large subunit ribosomal RNA". The stretch from base 1 to 120 matches the Rfam family "5.8S ribosomal RNA", at positions 35 to 154 of the family's 154-position model. The record is from RNAcentral.
GAUGAAGAACGCAGCGAAAUGCGAUAAGUAGUGUGAAUUGCAGAAUUCAGUGAAUCAUCGAAUCUUUGAACGCACCUUGCACCCUUUGGCAUUCUGAAGGGUAUGCUCGUUUGAGUGUCAUUGUACUCUCACACUCCCGAUCUUUGCAUUGGGAGCAGUGGACUUGGGUUUGCUGCUUCACCGUCGCUUACCUCAAAUAGGUUAGUGCAACUCUUGGUUGGACAUAGUACGGCGUGAUAAGUGUUCUUCGCCGGUGCCUCGCAAAGAGGGUGGCCGAUCGGGAUGUUGUGCUCCAAACCGUCUUCGGACAAUCUCUGACGACUUGACCUCAAAUCGAGUAAGACUACCCGCUGAACUUAAGCAUAUCAAUAAGCGGAGGA